This 253-nucleotide ribosomal RNA is filed under the name uncultured bacterium. RNAcentral's name for it is "partial 16S ribosomal RNA". It matches the Rfam family "Bacterial small subunit ribosomal RNA", at positions 524 to 776 of the family's 1533-position model. The record is from RNAcentral.
UACGUAGGGUGCGAGCGUUGUCCGGAAUUAUUGGGCGUAAAGAGCUUGUAGGCGGUUUGUCGCGUCUGCUGUGAAAACCCGAGGCUCAACCUCGGGCUUGCAGUGGGUACGGGCAGACUAGAGUGCGGUAGGGGAGAUUGGAAUUCCUGGUGUAGCGGUGGAAUGCGCAGAUAUCAGGAGGAACACCGAUGGCGAAGGCAGGUCUCUGGGCUGUAACUGACGCUGAGGAGCGAAAGCAUGGGGAGCGAACAGG